Molecule: unclassified non-coding RNA, 253 nt
Filed under: uncultured bacterium
Lineage: Bacteria
Description: contains 16S-23S intergenic spacer region
Rfam family: Bacterial small subunit ribosomal RNA
Source: RNAcentral
UACGUAGGUGGCAAGCGUUGUCCGGAAUUACUGGGCGUAAAGCGAACGCAGGCGGAUGGUUAAGUAAGAAGUGAAAGGUUGGAGCUCAACUCCAACAUUGCUUCUUAUACUGGCCGUCUUGAGUCCCGGAGAGGAAAGCGGAACUGCACGUGUAGCGGUGAAAUGCGUUGAUAUGUGCAGGAACACCAAUGGCGAAGGCAGCUUUCUGGACGAGGACUGACGCUCAUGUUCGAAAGCCAAGGUAGCGAACAGG